GCUGGGCAUGGUGGUGCAUGCCUGUAGUCCCAGCUACUUGGGAGGCUGAGACAGGAAAACUGCUUGAGCCCAGGGGGUGAAGGCUGCAGUGAGCCGUGAUCGUGCCACUGCACUCCAGCCUGAGCUACAGAGCAAGACCCUGUCUCAA
Unclassified non-coding RNA from Macaca fascicularis (crab-eating macaque), 148 nucleotides. It matches the Rfam family "Metazoan signal recognition particle RNA". From Rfam's summary of the family: The signal recognition particle (SRP) is a universally conserved ribonucleoprotein. It is involved in the co-translational targeting of proteins to membranes. NCBI's taxonomy places the organism in Eukaryota, Metazoa, Chordata, Mammalia, Primates, Cercopithecidae. The record is from Ensembl.